ACCAUGAGCCAUUUUUCAAAUCUAGGGUUUCUCUCUUUCACCAGAAGCUUCUCAAGCUUUUCUCCAAUGGCGGCGAAGAAGACAAUCCGAAAUCCAGAGCUAAUCCGUGGCGUCGGAAAGUUCUCACGUUCCAAAAUGUACCAUAAGAAGGGUUUAUGGGCAAUUAAGAAGAAAAACGGCGGUAAAUUACCUCUCCACGAGAAAAAACCCGCCGUCGCCGUUGCUGCUGUAAAGCCACCAAAAUUCUACCCUGCUGAUGACGUGAAAAAGCCUCUUGUUAACAAACACAAGCCAAAGCCUACAAAGCUUAGGGCAAGUAUUACACCUGGAACAGUGUUGAUUAUCCUUGCUGGUAGGUUUAAGGGAAAGAGAGUUGUGUUUUUGAAGCAGCUUACUUCUGGAUUGCUUCUUGUUACUGGUCCGUUUAAGCUUAAUGGAGUUCCAUUGAGACGUGUGAAUCAAGCUUAUGUUAUUGGUACCUCAACAAAGGUUGAUGUUUCUGGAGUGAAUGUGGAGAAGAUUGAUGAUAAGUAUUUUGCUAAGCAG
This 546-nucleotide unclassified non-coding RNA is filed under the name Hevea brasiliensis (rubber tree). The record is from RNAcentral. Lineage: Eukaryota; Viridiplantae; Streptophyta; Magnoliopsida; Malpighiales; Euphorbiaceae.